RNAcentral lists this ribosomal RNA (554 nucleotides) under uncultured archaeon. Its description in RNAcentral is "bacterial SSU rRNA". It matches the Rfam family "Archaeal small subunit ribosomal RNA", at positions 326 to 879 of the family's 1478-position model. The record is from RNAcentral.
CGGGGUGCAGCAGGCGCGAAAACUUUACAAUGUUGGAAACCGCGAUUGGGGGACCUCGAGUGCCUCGUUACAAAUCUGGCUGUCGUGAUGCCUAAAAACCAUUGCAAAUCAGGGGCGGGGCAAUACCGGUGCCACCCGCCGCGGUAACACCGGCCGUUCGAGUGGUAACCGUUAUUAUUGGGUCUAAAGGGUCUGUACCCGGUCGUGAUAAUUCUCUUGGGAAAUCCCCUACCUCAACUGUUGGGCUUUCAAGAUAUACUGUAUGGCUCGAGGCCGAGAGAGGUAAGAGGUACUUCGGGGGUAGGGGUGAAAUCUUGAAAUCCUUGAAAGACCACCUGUGGAGAAGGCUUCUCACCAGAACGUACCUGACUGAGAGAUACAAACUCUAGGAGCACAAACCAGAUUAUAUACCCGGGUACUCCUAUCCGUAAAAUAUACUCUCUAGGUGUCAGCCACUGAGCGACCGUUGUCUGUGCCAUAGGGAACCCUUGAAUCGAGCCACCUGAGAAGUACAGCCGCAUGGCUGAAACUUAAAAGAAUUGGCGGGAGAGCAC